RNAcentral lists this ribosomal RNA (504 nucleotides) under uncultured bacterium. RNAcentral describes it as "partial 16S ribosomal RNA". It matches the Rfam family "Bacterial small subunit ribosomal RNA", at positions 28 to 506 of the family's 1533-position model. The record is from RNAcentral.
GACGAACGCUGGCGGCGUGCCUAAUACAUGCAAGUAGAACGCACAGUUUAUACCGUAGCUUGCUACACCAUAGACUGUGAGUUGCGAACGGGUGAGUAACGCGUAGGUAACCUGCCUGGUAGCGGGGGAUAACUAUUGGAAACGAUAGCUAAUACCGCAUAAUAUUAAUUAUUGCAUGAUAAUUAAUUGAAAGGUGCAAUUGCACCACUACCAGAUGGACCUGCGUUGUAUUAGCUAGUAGGUGAGGUAACGGCUCACCUAGGCGACGAUACAUAGCCGACCUGAGAGGGUGAACGGCCACACUGGGACGGAGACACGGGCCAGACUCCUACGGGAGGCAGCAGGUGGGAAUAUUCGGGAAUGGGCGAAAGUCUGACCGAGCAACGCCGCGGGGAGGAAGAAGGUUUUCGGGUCUUAAAGCUUUUUUGGAAGGGAAGAAGGGGGGUGAGGGUGGAAAGUUCCCAAUGGGACGGUAUCUUACCAGAAAGGGACGGCUAACCACGG